CAGCCGCCGCGGUAAUACCGGCGGCCCGAGUGGCGGUCACUAUUAUUGGGCUUAAAGCGUCCGUAGCCGGGUUGGGAAGGCCUCCGGGAAAUCUGGCCGCUUAACGGUCAGAAUGCCGGAGGAUACUCCCAGCCUAGGGGGCGGGAGAGGCCGAGGGGAUUCCCGGAGGAGGGGUGAAAUCCUAUAAUCCCGGGAGGACCACCUGUGGCGAAGGCGCUCGGCUGGAACGCGUCCGACGGUGAGGGACGAAGGCCAGGGGAGCAAACCGGAUUAGAUACCCGGGUAGUCCUGGCUGUAAACGAUGCGGACUUUGUGUCGGACAAGCUAUGAGCUUGUCCGGUGCCGGAGGGAAACCGUUAAGUCCGCCGCCUGGGGAGUACGGCCGCAAGGCUGAAACUUAAAGGAAUUGGCGGG
Molecule: ribosomal RNA, 414 nt
Filed under: uncultured microorganism
Description: bacterial SSU rRNA
Rfam family: Archaeal small subunit ribosomal RNA
Source: RNAcentral